Long non-coding RNA from Brassica napus (rape), 1288 nucleotides. RefSeq lists it as uncharacterized. Lineage: Eukaryota; Viridiplantae; Streptophyta; Magnoliopsida; Brassicales; Brassicaceae. The record is from RefSeq and is a predicted model, not a curated record. The transcript has 3 exons.
CUAAUGGAGUCCAGCCCGAUAGAGAAACCUAACCCUCUCAACCAGCUUUCCCUCAGAAUUAAGGGUUCAUCCCGUUUUUUUUUUUCCUCUGAUGGGUUUCGUUCGCGUCGUUUCAUUUUCUUUUUAGUCAAGCGAAACGCUUCAAUCUAAAGAUUCAUCGCAAGGCAGUCUGAGUAUAAAAAGUUCCGUAGAUGUUCUUCCACUGCUGACGUUAGAUUGCUAUCCCAUCCACCCAACCAACAAGAUUCCGAUAGGAAACGAACCGGGAGGAACUCGAACAAUGCGCUUCUGCGGUUUCCUCAGGUGUGAAGCUCAUAGCUCAGAAUCAUCACGGGAAAAGAAGAACCCAGUUCAGGUAACGUUAUCAAGGCUAGACGAGUUUGAUUUGUUGCUAUUAAAGGGUAUGUUGAUGAUUUGGACUUUAAGGGAAGAUUACUAGACGAGUUUGAUUCGUUGCAGAGACGAGCUGUGAACUUAGACACCGUAUAUGCUAAGGUUAGUAAGAUGAUGCCGGAAUCAGGGUUUGCACCAGAGGAUGCUGAUAGGUUUGUGGCUUUGUUUAGCGGUGGAUGGCUGAGAAUCUCACUUGGAAUGUUCUGCAUUUAGAAGCCUAAUGUGAACUGUGUGUUUAUGUCAGUAGUAUCAGAUUUUCUGCUAUUUAACGAGCCUAAAAGCCAUUUGGAUCUUGAUACUAUUGAAUGGCUUGGAGGCUAUUUGCAAUAUCAAGAGGUGCCUAUGCUUAUAACUUCAAAUGUUCCUUGAUCAGUUGGGCACCUAAACUGUGGAAACCAAGAUGGGUCUUUCAAGGACAUUCGAGGGAAACUACUCUCAGUAUGUGAACUCAAAGGUGGAGUGGUUUGAAACUCAGAAUGCAGCUUGGGAAAACAGCAGAAAGAGAUUGAAUCAAAGGAGGACUUAAUCGCUAGGCUUGGUGCGGGUGCAAACCCUGGCUGUGCUUCUACUGCUCUGCUGAAAAGAAACAAGAGAAGGUGCUAACAUGACCUACUUGAUAAGCAAUUUCAGCGAAUGCAGAUGAAAAUUAGGUUUCCAGAGCGUGGAACAAGUGGAAGAUCAGUAGUCAUGGUUAAAAACAUUGAUUUAGAUUUCAGGGAUAAAGUGAGUUGGUGUAAUCAAAGCCUUGCUUUAUUAUAAAGUAAUCCUACUAUAUAAAAGAGACUAAUUUAGAACUCAAUUAGAGGUGCCAUGUAGGAUGAAAUAUUCUCAUCCAAUCAUUCCUCCACGUCAUUACGAAUUUAAUUGUUCAAAAAAUUUCUUUAUUGUUGUUGUG